RNAcentral lists this ribosomal RNA (374 nucleotides) under uncultured eukaryote. Its description in RNAcentral is "partial small subunit ribosomal RNA". It matches the Rfam family "Eukaryotic small subunit ribosomal RNA", at positions 587 to 972 of the family's 1831-position model. The record is from RNAcentral.
AGCUCCAAUAGCGUAUAUUAACAUUGUUGCAUUUAAAAAGCUCGUAGUUGAAUUAAAUCAUAAAAUAAAAAUGGUUUUUGUUAAAAAAUACUAUAUUAGUUUAUGAAAGUUGUAAAAGUUAAAAUUAUAUUAAAUUAUAGUUUAAAUGAAUACAAAAUUUACUGUGAGAAAAUUAGAGUGUUUAAAGCAAAAAAAAAGUUUUGAAUACAUUAGCAUGGAAUAAUAAAAAAAUAUGAAAAAAAUUUUGUUGGUUAAAAAAAGAAAUAAAGAUUAAAAGGGUCAGUUGUGGGUAUUUAAAUUUCAUAGUCAGAGGUGAAAUUCUGGGAUUUAUGAAAGAUAAACGAAUGCGAAAGCAUUUACCAAGGAUGUUUUCA